Molecule: ribosomal RNA, 379 nt
Filed under: uncultured Actinobacteridae bacterium
Lineage: Bacteria; Bacillati; Actinomycetota; Actinomycetes
Description: bacterial SSU rRNA
Rfam family: Bacterial small subunit ribosomal RNA
Source: RNAcentral
CAAGUGGGUGAUCUGCCCUGCACUUCGGGAUAAGCCUGGGAAACUGGGUCUAAUACCGGAUAUGACCUCCUAUCGCAUGGUGGGUGGUGGAAAGAUUUAUCGGUGCAGGAUGGGCCCGCGGCCUAUCAGCUUGUUGGUGGGGUAAUGGCCUACCAAGGCGACGACGGGUAGCCGACCUGAGAGGGUGACCGGCCACACUGGGACUGAGACACGGCCCAGACUCCUACGGGAGGCAGCAGUGGGGAAUAUUGCACAAUGGGCGAAAGCCUGAUGCAGCGACGCCGCGUGAGGGAUGACGGCCUUCGGGUUGUAAACCUCUUUCAGCAGGGACGAAGCGCAAGUGACGGUACCUGCAGAAGAAGCACCGGCUAACUACGUG